RNAcentral lists this ribosomal RNA (250 nucleotides) under uncultured bacterium. RNAcentral's name for it is "partial 16S ribosomal RNA". It matches the Rfam family "Bacterial small subunit ribosomal RNA", at positions 29 to 274 of the family's 1533-position model. The record is from RNAcentral.
AUGAACGCUGGCGGCGUGCUUAACACAUGCAAGUCGAACGAUUAAAGCUCACUUCGGUGAGUGUAUAGAGUGGCGAACGGGUGAGUAACACGUGGGAAACCUGCCCCUUUCUUCGGGAUAACUUCGGGAAACCGUUGCUAAUACCGGAUACUCCGGGAUGGUCGCAUGGCCGACCCGGGAAAGGCUUUAUGUGGAAAGGGAUGGUCCCGCGGCCCAUUAGCUUGUUGGUGGGGUAAUGGCCUACCAAGGC